This is a non-coding RNA of Vicugna pacos (alpaca), 269 nucleotides long. The record is from RefSeq and is a predicted model, not a curated record. NCBI's taxonomy places the organism in Eukaryota, Metazoa, Chordata, Mammalia, Artiodactyla, Camelidae.
AGAUUUCGACAACAGGAGUGUGAGCCAGGACAAAGAGACAUGGACUUUAAGAAGGUGUUGCUGUUGCCCCACUGCUGACAUCACAGAAAGUCUCCUUCCUUGAAACCACAGGAGCAGAAGUCCAAGAGCAGAAGCCCACUGCUGAGGCCAGUACUGCUAGGAACACCUACACUGCAAUUGCUGAGUUGUUGGAAGCUCAGUUUGGACCAGCUUGAGAGUGAGACUCCAGAUAAUAUGCCCAGGAGCAGGAUUGCUGUAUCAUAUGGUAA